Molecule: long non-coding RNA, 380 nt
Organism: Erinaceus europaeus (western European hedgehog)
Lineage: Eukaryota; Metazoa; Chordata; Mammalia; Eulipotyphla; Erinaceidae
Exons: 3
Source: RefSeq, a predicted model, not a curated record
AGAACCGGACUCUCUUGAACAGGGACUCUCUUGAACAAUAACCUUCUGAUCUUUGGAGCUGACAGGAAACCCGAUGAUUUCCUGAGUUCUGUAAUGGAUACAACAUGCAAAGUGUCAGCCACUGGAUGGGAAACCUCUAGCCCUUCCCAUCCCAGACCCUUUUCAGCCAACUGGAGACAUAGGAAAGAAGCUGCCUUGACCAGACCAUCCUUGACCAUCCUGGAGGACCUGAGCAGCAGGAGAGACUUUGCUUGAAGAUGCCGGCAAGGUAUGUGAACAUAUGCCAAGCCAAAUAAAUUGAUGGAACCACCCUGGCAUCCAUGUUGGAUCAAGAGCUGAGACACAAACUUCAUAUAAAGAACCAGCUACACCUAUUGAAG